AACGCACCUUGCGCCCCCUGGUAUUCCGGAGGGCAUGCCUGUUUGAGUGUCAUUAAAUUCUCAACUUCAAAAGUUUUUAUUAACUUUUUGAAGCUUGGAUGUGGGGGUUUGCUGGCGUCUUUAGAUGUUCGGCUCUCCUUAGAGUUAUUAGUGGGAAUGUCUUUUGUUAGGCGAUCCUUGGUGUGAUAAUUAUCUACACUUUGGAUAGUCUAAUGGUUCCAUUGGGAUUAGUUGGUAUUGCGAUUAAGUUUGCUUUACUUGAGUCUCAGAGGAAAAGAUAAGUUCUGCUUUCUAACCGUCUGUGUUACAUGGACAAUUUAUUGACUAUUUGACCUCAAAUCAGGUAGGACUACCCGCUGAACUUAA
This 366-nucleotide unclassified non-coding RNA is filed under the name uncultured fungus. Its description in RNAcentral is "partial contains 5.8S ribosomal RNA, internal transcribed spacer 2, and large subunit ribosomal RNA". The stretch from base 1 to 52 matches the Rfam family "5.8S ribosomal RNA", at positions 103 to 154 of the family's 154-position model. Lineage: Eukaryota; Fungi. The record is from RNAcentral.